This is a long non-coding RNA of Populus euphratica (Euphrates poplar), 585 nucleotides long. RefSeq lists it as uncharacterized. The transcript is spliced from 2 exons. The record is from RefSeq and is a predicted model, not a curated record. NCBI's taxonomy places the organism in Eukaryota, Viridiplantae, Streptophyta, Magnoliopsida, Malpighiales, Salicaceae.
AUAAAAAUAAAAACCUAAUUCUAAACCUAAACCUAAACCUAUUUCUUCAAAACCAAAGAAGCCGCAGCCCCCCUUAAAGGCUGAUCUGUUUUCUGUUUUCGGAAACAAAGCCGCCGUCCCCUGGGGUCCUUAGUGGUUGCUCUCCCGAAACAAAGCCAAGGAACCCCUACCAUUUCAUCGUUUUGUCUUCUCCCCUACACUUGCAGCAGCUCCUCCCUCAUCACAAACUCCCCUCUUCCUCUAGUGUUCUUUGCCAAAGAAAACCAUAGUAGCCUCCUUUUUCCUUGGCCAAAUCAGUCGCCUUCCUCCUCAUUUCCUUUUCCUAGUUGGUCGCAAGACAGUUCCUCACUCUCCAUCCCAGUUGUUCCCUUCCAUCACCAACCACUCCCCACGGCACCAGCACAGCACAGAACCGUUUUCCCCGUCUCCAUCUACCAGCCUUUUAGAGGCAGUCGGACAAUAGCAGCAAGGCCAACCACCGCUGCCACCAACAGGAGUGAAGACCAACCCGGCAACGCCAACAGAUCAGCAGCCCUUUGGUCACACGCCGGCCACCUGAAGUGAAGGGGACAAAGAUAUAAGCCA